RNAcentral lists this ribosomal RNA (252 nucleotides) under uncultured bacterium. RNAcentral describes it as "partial 16S ribosomal RNA". It matches the Rfam family "Bacterial small subunit ribosomal RNA", at positions 524 to 776 of the family's 1533-position model. The record is from RNAcentral.
UACGGAGGAUGCGAGCGUUAUCCGGAUUUAUUGGGUUUAAAGGGUGCGUAGGCGGCCUGCCAAGUCAGCGGUAAUAUUGCGGGGCUCAACCCCGUACAGCCGUUGAAACUGCCGGGCUCGAGUGGGCGAGAAGUAUGCGGAAUGCGUGGUGUAGCGGUGAAAUGCAUAGAUAUCACGCAGAACCCCGAUUGCGAAGGCAGCAUACCGGCGCCCGACUGACGCUGAGGCACGAAAGUGCGGGGAUCAAACAGG